GGACCUUUAGCACAGUUGGUUAGUGCGUUCGGCUCAUAACCGAAUGGUCCUUGGUUCGAGUCCAAGAAGGUCCACCA
This 77-nucleotide transfer RNA is filed under the name Caudoviricetes sp. RNAcentral's name for it is "tRNA-Met". It matches the Rfam family "tRNA". From Rfam's summary of the family: Transfer RNA (tRNA) molecules are approximately 80 nucleotides in length. Their secondary structure includes four short double-helical elements and three loops (D, anti-codon, and T loops). Lineage: Duplodnaviria; Heunggongvirae; Uroviricota; Caudoviricetes. The record is from RNAcentral.